GGAAGGUCCGGGCGUUAUCCGGAUUUAUUGGGUUUAAAGGGAGCGUAGGCCGGAGAUUAAGCGUGUUGUGAAAUGUAGACGCUCAACGUCUGCACUGCAGCGCGAACUGGUUUCCUUGAGUACGCACAAAGUGGGCGGAAUUCGUGGUGUAGCGGUGAAAUGCUUAGAUAUCACGAAGAACUCCGAUUGCGAAGGCAGCUCACUGGAGCGCAACUGACGCUGAAGCUCGAAAGUGCGGGUAUCGAACAGGAUUAGAUACCCUGGUAGUCCGCACGGUAAACGAUGGAUGCCCGCUGUCGGUCUGAAUAGGUCAGCGGCCAAGCGAAAGCAUUAAGCAUUCCACCUGGGGAGU
RNAcentral lists this ribosomal RNA (352 nucleotides) under uncultured bacterium. RNAcentral describes it as "bacterial SSU rRNA". It matches the Rfam family "Bacterial small subunit ribosomal RNA", at positions 527 to 881 of the family's 1533-position model. The record is from RNAcentral.